Molecule: long non-coding RNA, 754 nt
Filed under: Olea europaea subsp. europaea
Lineage: Eukaryota; Viridiplantae; Streptophyta; Magnoliopsida; Lamiales; Oleaceae
Source: RNAcentral
UCUUCAUAAAAGACUUGUUUGGCAUAGAUUCUUCUAAAAUCAUUGUCCUCCAAAUUAUUUUAACAUCCAUUUAUCGAUUACAUAUUCUUCAAUAAAAAAAUCAUUUUUUACUUGAAAAAAUCUGUGCAAACCUUGGGCAACGAAAAGAUUCUCGCAAUCAACUGUCAAAUUUCCUGCCCGACUGGUAAAUGUGCCCUUCGCAUAAGCAGACUCUAAUGGUCUACUUGCAAAGAAAUGAAAAUUUUUCAGACACCCAAAAUGCUAGAGCAUGUAACUUCGAUCAAAUCAGUUCACUGGAAUUAGUGUUGUAAAAGUUCAAUUCAGAUUAUGGAAAAUCAAAUAAGGGAGUGCAGUUAAUUUUCUGCAGGAAUUGAUCAUUCUACUGCUCUAGAAUUGAUUUCUUGCUCCCAAUGGACAAGAAAAAAACUUUCCAUUGCUAAUAUGGCAAGAGAGCCUUUUAUGAUAACCAUAAGUGAAGUUCAACAGUGGAUAGAUCUUAUCCUGCCCACCGUGGGGAAGGAGAUAAGGCCUGUCUCUUGCUCAUUAUUAGAAUUUUUAAGAAAAGGAAACAGAAAAGGAGAUGCUGUCACUGUAAAUCAUAGUUCAUACACACAGAGGUCUAAUUUCGUGAUUGACCAAAGCUUAAUGGAAUAAACAAACGCCUGCAAGUCAAACUAAACCAUGAAUAAGGUACCAUCUACUGCUUGAUUAAUCAGAGCAAGGAACCUAGUUGCGCUAAGAGAGACCAUUUUAU